Non-coding RNA from Pelobates cultripes (western spadefoot toad), 210 nucleotides. NCBI's taxonomy places the organism in Eukaryota, Metazoa, Chordata, Amphibia, Anura, Pelobatidae. The record is from the annotation of a GenBank genome assembly.
CUCACUCACUGGUGUCACAAUAGCUUGCAUUUAAAACCCAAAAACCUUUUUCACUGUUAUAGAUUGAAUAGCAGUUAGUUGUCUCAAAGCAGGUGUGUCAGGCUCACAGUGGAUAUUGUGCCAGUUCACAGUGCCACUCAUAUCUGGUGUCAUAAUAGCUUGCUUUUAAAAACAAAAAAAGGUUUUUCACUGUUAUAGAUUGAAUAGCAG